Vicugna pacos (alpaca) is the source of this 130-nucleotide non-coding RNA. The record is from Rfam. Lineage: Eukaryota; Metazoa; Chordata; Mammalia; Artiodactyla; Camelidae.
GAUGAGAAGAAGAAUAACUUCAUUCUGAAUCAAUGAAAAGACUUCUGUCCUCUUGCCAUUGGAUAUAUGUUAUCUGCACUUACAGAAUUGAAAUUUGUACAUCAAAGGAACAUUCUCUUGGGAAGAAAGA